UACGGAGGGUGCAAGCGUUGUCCGGAUUUAUUGGGUUUAAAGGGUGCGUAGGCGGCCUUUUAAGUCAGUGGUGAAAGCCGACAGCUCAACUGUCGAACUGCCAUUGAUACUGAAAGGCUUGAGUACAUACGAGGUCGGCGGAAUUGAUGGUGUAGCGGUGAAAUGCAUAGAUACCACCAAGAACACCGAUUGCGAAGGCAGCUUACUAGUCUGUAACUGACGCUGAGGCACGAAAGUGUGGGGAUCAAACAGG
This 253-nucleotide ribosomal RNA is filed under the name uncultured bacterium. RNAcentral describes it as "partial 16S ribosomal RNA". It matches the Rfam family "Bacterial small subunit ribosomal RNA", at positions 524 to 776 of the family's 1533-position model. The record is from RNAcentral.